Molecule: ribosomal RNA, 420 nt
Filed under: uncultured eukaryote
Lineage: Eukaryota
Description: SSU rRNA
Rfam family: Eukaryotic small subunit ribosomal RNA
Source: RNAcentral
CAAUAGCGUAUAUUAAAGUUGUUGCGGUUAAAAGCUCGUAGUUGGAUUUCUGUUGAGGACGACCGUUCCGCCCUCUGGGUGAGUAUCUGGCUCGGCCUUGGCAUCUUCUUGGAGAACGUUGCUGCACUUGAUUGUGUGGUGCGGUAUCCAGGACUUUUACUUUGAGGAAAUUAGAGUGUUUCAAGCAGGCGCACGCCUUGAAUACAUUAGCAUGGAAUAAUAAGAUAGGACCUUGGUUCUAUUUUGUUGGUUUCUAGAGCUGAGGUAAUGAUUAAUAGGGAUAGUUGGGGGCAUUCGUAUUUAACUGUCAGAGGUGAAAUUCUUGGAUUUAUGAAAGACGAACUUCUGCGAAAGCAUUUGCCAAGGAUGUUUUCAUUAAUCAAGAACGAAAGUUGGGGGCUCGAAGACGAUUAGAUACCA